UUCUGGUGCUUGCACUAGAAAAACUUAGCGGCGAACGGGUGAGUAACACGUAAAGAACCUGCCUCAUAGACUGGGACAACUAUUGGAAACGAUAGCUAAUACCGGAUAACAGUAUUUCUCGCAUGAGAGAUAUUUAAAAGUUGGUUAUGCUAACACUAUGAGAUGGCUUUGCGGUGCAUUAGCUAGUUGGUGGGGUAAAGGCCCACCAAGGCGACGAUGCAUAGCCGACCUGAGAGGGUGAUCGGCCACACUGGGACUGAGACACGGCCCAGACUCCUACGGGAGGCAGCAGUAGGGAAUCUUCCGCAAUGGGCGAAAGCCUGACGGAGCAACGCCGCGUGAGUGAAGAAGGAUUUCGGUUCGUAAAGCUCUGUUGUUAGGGAAGAAUGGAUAUGUAGUAACUAUACAUAUAAGAGACGGUACCUAACCAGAAAGCCACGGCGAACUACGUGCCAGCAGCCGCGGUAAUACGUAGGUGGCAAGCGUUGUCCGGAAUUAUUGGGCGUAAAGCGCGCGCAGGUGGUUUAAUAAGUCUGAUGUGAAAGCCCACGGCUCAACCGUGGAGGGUCAUUGGAAACUGUUAAACUUGAGUGCAGGAGAGAAAAGUGGAAUUCCUAGUGUAGCGGUGAAAUGCGUAGAGAUUAGGAGGACACCAGUGGCGAAG
This 664-nucleotide ribosomal RNA is filed under the name uncultured Bacilli bacterium. RNAcentral describes it as "bacterial SSU rRNA". It matches the Rfam family "Bacterial small subunit ribosomal RNA", at positions 71 to 720 of the family's 1533-position model. The record is from RNAcentral. Lineage: Bacteria; Bacillati; Bacillota; Bacilli.